Molecule: ribosomal RNA, 1219 nt
Filed under: human gut metagenome
Description: bacterial SSU rRNA
Rfam family: Bacterial small subunit ribosomal RNA
Source: RNAcentral
UGGUGAGAGUGGCGAACGGGUGAGUAAUGCGUGACCGACCUGCCCCAUACACCGGAAUAGCUCCUGGAAACGGGUGGUAAUGCCGGAUGCUCCGACUCCUCGCAUGGGGUGUCGGGAAAGAUUCUAUCGGUAUGGGAUGGGGUCGCGUCCUAUCAGGUAGUCGGCGGGGUAACGGCCCACCGAGCCUACGACGGGUAGCCGGCCUGAGAGGGCGACCGGCCACAUUGGGACUGAGAUACGGCCCAGACUCCUACGGGAGGCAGCAGUGGGGAAUAUUGCACAAUGGGCGCAAGCCUGAUGCAGCGACGCCGCGUGCGGGAUGACGGCCUUCGGGUUGUAAACCGCUUUUGAUCGGGAGCAAGCCUUCGGGUGAGUGUACCUUUCGAAUAAGCACCGGCUAACUACGUGCCAGCAGCCGCGGUAAUACGUAGGGUGCAAGCGUUAUCCGGAAUUAUUGGGCGUAAAGGGCUCGUAGGCGGUUCGUCGCGUCCGGUGUGAAAGUCCAUCGCUUAACGGUGGAUCUGCGCCGGGUACGGGCGGGCUGGAGUGCGGUAGGGGAGACUGGAAUUCCCGGUGUAACGGUGGAAUGUGUAGAUAUCGGGAAGAACACCAAUGGCGAAGGCAGGUCUCUGGGCCGUUACUGACGCUGAGGAGCGAAAGCGUGGGGAGCGAACAGGAUUAGAUACCCUGGUAGUCCACGCCGUAAACGGUGGAUGCUGGAUGUGGGGCCCGUUCCACGGGUUCCGUGUCGGAGCUAACGCGUUAAGCAUCCCGCCUGGGGAGUACGGCCGCAAGGCUAAAACUCAAAGAAAUUGACGGGGGCCCGCACAAGCGGCGGAGCAUGCGGAUUAAUUCGAUGCAACGCGAAGAACCUUACCUGGGCUUGACAUGUUCCCGACGGCCGUAGAGAUACGGCUUCCCUUCGGGGCGGGUUCACAGGUGGUGCAUGGUCGUCGUCAGCUCGUGUCGUGAGAUGUUGGGUUAAGUCCCGCAACGAGCGCAACCCUCGCCCUGUGUUGCCAGCACGUCAUGGUGGGAACUCACGGGGGACCGCCGGGGUCAACUCGGAGGAAGGUGGGGAUGACGUCAGAUCAUCAUGCCCCUUACGUCCAGGGCUUCACGCAUGCUACAAUGGCCGGUACAACGGGAUGCGACGCGGCGACGCGGAGCGGAUCCCUGAAAACCGGUCUCAGUUCGGAUCGCAGUCUGCAACUCGACU